Tripterygium wilfordii is the source of this 507-nucleotide long non-coding RNA. RefSeq lists it as uncharacterized. NCBI's taxonomy places the organism in Eukaryota, Viridiplantae, Streptophyta, Magnoliopsida, Celastrales, Celastraceae. The transcript has 3 exons. The record is from RefSeq and is a predicted model, not a curated record.
CUCACUCUAUUUUCUUCUUCUUUUGUUCUUUUGUUCUUUUCUCCUAAAUUACUUGUGCAGCCGUGACUCUCUUCUCCACCAUCACCACAACCCCAUCCGACCAGCCACCCAUACCAGUCACCUCCAGCCACCGGCAACCACCACUCUCCGGAACCAUCUUUGAAGGUCUUUAGAAGUUGGUUGGCUCAUUGGAUAUUAUUUGACGUUAAUUGUUUGAGCUUGUGAAGUUUGUUUCUACAAGAGGUCAGGAAAAUGUUCAAGAUCGACUGCCGGAGGCGUGACAGUGCGGUGUAGCCUGUGUUUACUAGAUGUCUAUUUCCUUACCUUUAUUUAGGAUGGUUAGACGUUUAAAUUGUUGAAUGUCAUGUAUGACUCAAUCACCUUCGACUUGAGCAAUUGCUUGUUUCCGCUACGAUAUGGACCAUUGAGGUCUUAAUUAGUAUGGUAGUAUUGAAUUGUGUUAUGGAGGCUUAAUGCCAUUGGAGUCCUCUUUAGGACAAUUGUUUA